GAUGAAGAACGUAGCGAAGUGCGAUAAGUAGUGUGAAUUGCAGAAUUUCGUGAAUCAUCGAAUCUUUGAACGCAAAUUGCACUCUCCGGUUUUCCGGGAGAGUAUGCCUGUUUGAGGGUCAGCCUAAAUAAAUUCGGCUUCGUUACUGUAUUUCGGUAAUGUUUUGUCGGAAUUUGGGUCAUCUUAAAUCGAAAGGUCUAAGCGACUUAAAAAUUUUUUUUUACGAUCCCACGAACGUUUCUAAGAUCUUCUUUACACGUUCAAGGUAUCGAAUACCCCAUUAGACGUGGCCGUCGUAUCGGAUCGCGUCCAUAAUAUUUAUUCUUUAACUGACCUCAGACAGGUAAGAGUACCCGCUGAACUUAAGCAUAUCAAUAAGCGGAGGA
Molecule: unclassified non-coding RNA, 386 nt
Filed under: soil metagenome
Description: partial contains 5.8S ribosomal RNA, internal transcribed spacer 2, and large subunit ribosomal RNA
Rfam family: 5.8S ribosomal RNA (bases 1-121)
Source: RNAcentral